This 497-nucleotide ribosomal RNA is filed under the name uncultured bacterium. RNAcentral describes it as "partial 16S ribosomal RNA". It matches the Rfam family "Bacterial small subunit ribosomal RNA", at positions 28 to 507 of the family's 1533-position model. The record is from RNAcentral.
GAUGAACGCUGGCGGCGUGCCUAAUACAUGCAAGUCGAGCGAACAGACGAGGAGCUUGCUCCUCUGACGUUAGCGGCGGACGGGUGAGUAACACGUGGAUAACCUACCUAUAAGACUGGGAUAACUUCGGGAAACCGGAGCUAAUACCGGAUAAUAUAUUGAACCGCAUGGUUCAAUAGUGAAAGACGGUUUUGCUGUCACUUAUAGAUGGAUCCGCGCCGCAUUAGCUAGUUGGUACGGUAACGGCUUACCAAGGCAACGAUGCGUAGCCGACCUGAGAGGGUGAUCGGCCACACUGGAACUGAGACACGGUCCAGACUCCUACGGGAGGCAGCAGUAGGGAAUCUUCCGCAAUGGGCGAAAGCCUGACGGAGCAACGUCGCGUGAGUGAUGAAGGUCUUCGGAUCGUAAAGCUCUGUUAUUAGGGAAGAACAAAUGUGUAAGUAACUAUGCACGUCUUGACGGUACCUAAUCAGAAAGCCACGGCUAACUACGUG